This 1428-nucleotide ribosomal RNA is filed under the name Salmonella enterica. Its description in RNAcentral is "partial 23S ribosomal RNA". It matches the Rfam family "Bacterial large subunit ribosomal RNA", at positions 1526 to 2925 of the family's 2925-position model. Lineage: Bacteria; Pseudomonadati; Pseudomonadota; Gammaproteobacteria; Enterobacterales; Enterobacteriaceae. The record is from RNAcentral.
GGGUGUUCCAGGUAAAUCCGGAACGCUGUUAACGCUGAGGCGUGAUGACGAGGCACUACGGUGCUGAAGCAACAAAUGCCCUGCUUCCAGGAAAAGCCUCUAAGCAUCAGGUAACACGAAAUCGUACCCCAAACCGACACAGGUGGUCAGGUAGAGAAUACCAAGGCGCUUGAGAGAACUCGGGUGAAGGAACUAGGCAAAAUGGUGCCGUAACUUCGGGAGAAGGCACGCUGACACGUAGGUGAAGUGAUUUACUCAUGGAGCUGAAGUCAGUCGAAGAUACCAGCUGGCUGCAACUGUUUAUUAAAAACACAGCACUGUGCAAACACGAAAGUGGACGUAUACGGUGUGACGCCUGCCCGGUGCCGGAAGGUUAAUUGAUGGGGUCAGCGCAAGCGAAGCUCCUGAUCGAAGCCCCGGUAAACGGCGGCCGUAACUAUAACGGUCCUAAGGUAGCGAAAUUCCUUGUCGGGUAAGUUCCGACCUGCACGAAUGGCGUAAUGAUGGCCAGGCUGUCUCCACCCGAGACUCAGUGAAAUUGAACUCGCUGUGAAGAUGCAGUGUACCCGCGGCAAGACGGAAAGACCCCGUGAACCUUUACUAUAGCUUGACACUGAACAUUGAGCCUUGAUGUGUAGGAUAGGUGGGAGGCUUUGAAGUGUGGACGCCAGUCUGCAUGGAGCCGACCUUGAAAUACCACCCUUUAAUGUUUGAUGUUCUAACGUGGACCCGUGAUCCGGGUUGCGGACAGUGUCUGGUGGGUAGUUUGACUGGGGCGGUCUCCUCCUAAAGAGUAACGGAGGAGCACGAAGGUUGGCUAAUCCUGGUCGGACAUCAGGAGGUUAGUGCAAUGGCAUAAGCCAGCUUGACUGCGAGCGUGACGGCGCGAGCAGGUGCGAAAGCAGGUCAUAGUGAUCCGGUGGUUCUGAAUGGAAGGGCCAUCGCUCAACGGAUAAAAGGUACUCCGGGGAUAACAGGCUGAUACCGCCCAAGAGUUCAUAUCGACGGCGGUGUUUGGCACCUCGAUGUCGGCUCAUCACAUCCUGGGGCUGAAGUAGGUCCCAAGGGUAUGGCUGUUCGCCAUUUAAAGUGGUACGCGAGCUGGGUUUAGAACGUCGUGAGACAGUUCGGUCCCUAUCUGCCGUGGGCGCUGGAGAACUGAGGGGGGCUGCUCCUAGUACGAGAGGACCGGAGUGGACGCAUCACUGGUGUUCGGGUUGUCAUGCCAAUGGCACUGCCCGGUAGCUAAAUGCGGAAGAGAUAAGUGCUGAAAGCAUCUAAGCACGAAACUUGCCCCGAGAUGAGUUCUCCCUGAGACUUUAGGUCUCCUGAAGGAACGUUGAAGACGACGACGUUGAUAGGCCGGGUGUGUAAGCGCAGCGAUGCGUUGAGCUAACCGGUACUAAUGAACCGUGAGGCUUAACCUUA